UGAAGCUGGAAUCGCUAGUAAUCGCGAAUCAGAAUGUCGCGGUGAAUACGUUCCCGGGUCUUGUACACACCGCCCGUCACACCAUGGGAGUCGGAAAUGCCCGAAGUCAGUGACCCAACCACAACGUGAACUUCGUUCGCGUGGAGGGAGCUGCCGAAGGUGGAGCCGGUAACUGGGGUGAAGUCGUAACAAGGUAUC
Molecule: ribosomal RNA, 198 nt
Filed under: uncultured bacterium
Lineage: Bacteria
Description: partial 16S ribosomal RNA
Rfam family: Bacterial small subunit ribosomal RNA
Source: RNAcentral